Molecule: non-coding RNA, 45 nt
Filed under: Schistosoma margrebowiei
Lineage: Eukaryota; Metazoa; Platyhelminthes; Trematoda; Strigeidida; Schistosomatidae
Source: RNAcentral
AUCCAGCUGACCAGUCUCAAAUAGGACGGAACGUAUGUCCUAGAU